This is a non-coding RNA of Podarcis lilfordi (Lilford's wall lizard), 73 nucleotides long. The record is from the annotation of a GenBank genome assembly. Lineage: Eukaryota; Metazoa; Chordata; Lepidosauria; Squamata; Lacertidae.
GGGAGGGUUGGCUCAAGGGGUAGAGCAUGUGUUCUGCAUACAGAAGGACCCUGGUUCAAUUCUCAGCAUCCCA